UUGACCCCAUUAAAUGAUAACGAUUAUCAUUACCCCACCAAAUGACAAAGGUCGUUCAUUUGGUCUCUCUCAUCAGGAGCUCAUAGCUCUUUUAUGCCCCACCUCUGGUGGGGCUUUUUUUG
RNAcentral lists this unclassified non-coding RNA (122 nucleotides) under Marinobacter zhejiangensis. Its description in RNAcentral is "PrrF RNA". Lineage: Bacteria; Pseudomonadati; Pseudomonadota; Gammaproteobacteria; Pseudomonadales; Marinobacteraceae. The record is from RNAcentral.